GAAAUGCGAUAAGUAAUGUGAAUUGCAGAAUUCAGUGAAUCAUCGAAUCUUUGAACGCACAUUGCGCCCGCCAGUAUUCUGGCGGGCAUGCCUGUUCGAGCGUCAUUUCAACCAUCAAGCCCCCGGCUUGUGUUGGGGACCUGCGGCUGCCCGCAGGCCCUGAAAAACAGUGGCGGGCUCGCUGUCACACCGAGCUUAGUAGCAUACAUUCUCGCUCAGGGCGUGCUGCGGGUUCCGGCCGUUAAACGACCUUCAUAACCCAAGGUUGACCUCGGAUCAGGUAGGAAGACCCGCUGAACUUAAGC
RNAcentral lists this unclassified non-coding RNA (305 nucleotides) under plant metagenome. Its description in RNAcentral is "partial contains 5.8S ribosomal RNA, internal transcribed spacer 2, and large subunit ribosomal RNA". The stretch from base 1 to 105 matches the Rfam family "5.8S ribosomal RNA", at positions 50 to 154 of the family's 154-position model. The record is from RNAcentral.